Molecule: non-coding RNA, 73 nt
Organism: Stegodyphus mimosarum
Lineage: Eukaryota; Metazoa; Arthropoda; Arachnida; Araneae; Eresidae
Source: Rfam
GCCUUCGUGGUGUUGUGGUUAGCACACUCGGCGCGUAUUCUAGAAGUCUGGGGUUCGAAUCCCGGCAAGGGCA